Long non-coding RNA from Cotesia glomerata, 871 nucleotides. RefSeq lists it as uncharacterized. The record is from RefSeq and is a predicted model, not a curated record. NCBI's taxonomy places the organism in Eukaryota, Metazoa, Arthropoda, Insecta, Hymenoptera, Braconidae. The transcript is spliced from 3 exons.
UUCUACCUACUGCCCCUUCCCUAAGCUUCUUCCCCCACCAGAAGAAUUUCUCCAGUCAAGUUUCCCGUGACUACCGAUCUCUCGUCCAAUGGAAGAAUACGGGAGGCGUGGCUCUGCUUUGGAUGUUUGUUUCCUCGGAAGACUACUAUUGGCUGGCGAGAGUAAACGAGGCAAGCCCGCGAUCGCGAAUUCUGUGGAAAAUAAAGUAUUAAGUGUAACAGUUGAAUACAACGUGUUCGUGUUGUAUUUUGUGCUAUACUGAGAAAAGAGAAGAAAGAAGAAAGAAUAUAUUCCAGGUACUAGGUACUGAGGGUUAAAGUUGGGGGUACUGCUAUGCGGAAUCUUCAUCAUUUUGUGGUACUUGUUGUAUACGCACAGGGUAAAUCUGACUCUUGUGUAAGUACUUCUCAUUUUCAACGUUCCCGCGUUUUGUUAAAAGACUCAACGACAACUAUACUCCGCUACGCUACUAUGCUGUAUUAUAUAAAUACAUCCUACGUAGUUUAUUAACAAACAACCCACCGAGAGUUACAAUGAAGAAAUACCUGCACCUCAAAGCUCACUACAAUUGGCUAAACAUUUCUGCUGGAACGUGGUACACGCUGGGAUUAUUUAUUUAUUGUUGUUAUGGAUGAUGAUGGGGAAGGGAUGCUUUGUUGGGAAAUUAAUUCACUUGGGCUGUUACGUUUUAAUUGGCUUAGUUGAUAGUAAGCUUUGGAGAAUAGGAAAAAAAAGUUGGUAAAUUGGCUUAGGUUGCAGAAAAAAUAUUAUUGAUUGGUGAAGAAUUUUAGCCAAGGAAAAUUUGAUUAUUUUGAAGAAAGUAGAAAAGAGUGGGGCAUAACGGCCCUCUUAAAAAUUGGGUAAAAAAUUU